RNAcentral lists this unclassified non-coding RNA (234 nucleotides) under plant metagenome. RNAcentral describes it as "partial contains small subunit ribosomal RNA, internal transcribed spacer 1, and 5.8S ribosomal RNA". The record is from RNAcentral.
UUUCCGUAGGUGAACCUGCGGAAGGAUCAUUACAGUAGUCACCCAGGUUGCCGCAAGGCCUCCCGGGUAACCUACCACCCUUUGUUUAUUACACUUUGUUGCUUUGGCAAGCCUGCCCUCGGGCUGCUGGCUCCGGCCGGCGAGCGCUUGCCAGAGGACCUAAACUCUGUUUGUCUAUACUGUCUGAGUACUAUAUAAUAGUUAAAACUUUCAACAACGGAUCUCUUGGUUCUG